Small nucleolar RNA from Rattus norvegicus (Norway rat), 169 nucleotides. Ensembl annotates it as Small nucleolar RNA SNORA73 family. Its record names the gene SNORA73. The record is from Ensembl. Lineage: Eukaryota; Metazoa; Chordata; Mammalia; Rodentia; Muridae.
ACAAAGUAUUUCUAACACACGGGAGCAUAGGGUACUGCCCGAUGAUGUACAGUCCCUUUCCACAACAUUGGAGAUGAAGCGGGGCUUCGAGUCUGCGCCUGCAUAUUCCUACGACUUCUCAGAGUCCUGUGGACCGUGACUGAGGAGACAAACCAUGCAGGAAACAGUC